Molecule: non-coding RNA, 125 nt
Organism: Hordeum vulgare subsp. vulgare (domesticated barley)
Lineage: Eukaryota; Viridiplantae; Streptophyta; Magnoliopsida; Poales; Poaceae
Source: Rfam
UUCAUACCCUCUCCGUCCAAAAUUACUUGUCAUAAAAAUUCAUAGAAAUGAAUGUAUGUAGAACUAAAAAAAGUCUAAAUACAUCCAUUCUUACGACAAGUAAUUUCUGACGGAGGGAGUAUAAU